UACGUAGGGGGCAAGCGUUGUCCGGAAUCAUUGGGCGUAAAGCGCGUGUAGGCGGCCCGGUAAGUCCGCUGUGAAAGUCCAGGGCUCAACCCUGGGAUGCCGGUCGAUACUGCCGGACUAGAGUUCGGAAGAGGCGAGUGGAAUUCCCGGUGUAGCGGUGAAAUGCGUUGAUAUCAUCAGGAAUACCGGAGGCGAAGGCGGCUCACUGGGUCUCUUCUGACGCUGAGGAACGAAAGCUAGGGGAGCAAACGGG
RNAcentral lists this ribosomal RNA (253 nucleotides) under uncultured bacterium. RNAcentral's name for it is "partial 16S ribosomal RNA". It matches the Rfam family "Bacterial small subunit ribosomal RNA", at positions 524 to 776 of the family's 1533-position model. The record is from RNAcentral.